CAGCAGCCGCGGUAAUACGUAGGUGGCAAGCGUUCUCCGGAAUUAUUGGGCGUAAAGGGCUCGCAGGCGGUCUCUUAACUCUGAUGUGAAAGCCCCCGGCUCAACCGGGGAGGGUCAUUGGAAACUGGGGAACUUGAGUGCAGAAGAGGAGAGUGGAAUUCCACGUGUAGCGGUGAAAUGCGUAGAGAUGUGGAGGAACACCAGUGGGGAAGGCGACUCUCUGCUCUGUAACUGACGCUGAGGAGCGAAAGCGUGGGGAGCGAACAGGAUUAGAUACCCUGGUACUCCACGCCGUAAACGAUGAGUGCUAAGUGUUAGGGGGUCUCCGCCCCUUAGUGCUGCAGCUAACGCAUUAAGCACUCCGCCUGGGGAGUACGCUCGCAAGACUGAAACUCAAA
Molecule: ribosomal RNA, 398 nt
Filed under: Bacillus subtilis
Lineage: Bacteria; Bacillati; Bacillota; Bacilli; Caryophanales; Bacillaceae
Description: bacterial SSU rRNA
Rfam family: Bacterial small subunit ribosomal RNA
Source: RNAcentral